Molecule: ribosomal RNA, 427 nt
Filed under: uncultured Chthoniobacter sp.
Lineage: Bacteria; Pseudomonadati; Verrucomicrobiota; Spartobacteria; Chthoniobacterales; Chthoniobacteraceae
Description: bacterial SSU rRNA
Rfam family: Bacterial small subunit ribosomal RNA
Source: RNAcentral
UCGAGAAUUUUUCUCAAUGGGGGAAACCCUGAAGGAGCGACGCCGCGUGGAGGAUGAAGGUCUUCGGAUUGUAAACUCCUGUCAUUGGUGAACAAGGCUAGGCGAGUAACUGCGCUCUAGUUUGAUAGUAGCCGAAGAGGAAGAGACGGCUAACUCUGUGCCAGCAGCCGCGGUAAUACAGAGGUCUCGAGCGUUGUUCGGAUUCAUUGGGCGUAAAGGGUGCGUAGGCGGCGAGGCAAGUCUGGUGUGAAAUCCCGGGGCUCAACCCCGGAACUGCACUGGAUACUGCCUUGCUAGAGUACUGGAGAGGGAACUGGAAUUUACGGUGUAGCAGUGAAAUGCGUAGAUAUCGUAAGGAAGACCAGUGGCGAAGGCGAGUUCCUGGACAGUUACUGACGCUGAGGCACGAAGGCCAGGGGAGCAAACG